CUGAUCCAGCAAUGCCGCGUGUGUGAAGAAGGCCUUCGGGUUGUAAAGCACUUUUGUCCGGAAAGAAAUCGCACUUACUAAUAUUAGGUGUGGAUGACGGUACCGGAAGAAUAAGGACCGGCUAACUACGUGCCAGCAGCCGCGGUAAUACGUAGGGUCCAAGCGUUAAUCGGAAUUACUGGGCGUAAAGCGUGCGCAGGCGGUUGUGCAAGACCGAUGUGAAAUCCCCGGGCUUAACCUGGGAAUUGCAUUGGUGACUGCACGGCUAGAGUGUGUCAGAGGGGGGUAGAAUUCCACGUGUAGCAGUGAAAUGCGUAGAGAUGUGGAGGAAUACCGAUGGCGAAGGCAGCCCCCUGGGAUAACACUGACGCUCAUGCACGAAAGCGUGGGGAGCAAACAGGAUUAGAUACCCUGGUAGUCCACGCCCUAAACGAUGUCAACUAGUUGUUGGGGAUUCAUUUCCUUAGUAACGUAGCUAACGCGUGAAGUUGACCGCCUGGGGAGUACGGUCGCAAGAUUAAAACUCAAAGGAAUUGACGGGGACCCGCACAAGCGGUGGAUGAUGUGGAUUAAUUCGAUGCAACGCGAAAAACUUACUACCCUUGACAUGCCACUAACGAAGCAAGAUGCAUUAGGUGUCCAAAA
RNAcentral lists this ribosomal RNA (645 nucleotides) under uncultured bacterium. Its description in RNAcentral is "bacterial SSU rRNA". It matches the Rfam family "Bacterial small subunit ribosomal RNA", at positions 383 to 1024 of the family's 1533-position model. The record is from RNAcentral.